CAUGUGCCUCUGUCCAGGAGCUGCUGACAAAGAAGCAAGCUGUACUUUCUCUUCGUAGGAGUCAGACACGUGUAUACAGAGAUGCACUCCAGUGGUCAUCCCUUGUUGUCCCUACCAGGAAGACAUGAGUCGCAUAGAGGACAAACUGGAUACCCUGUGUGACUUUGUUCAAAGCUGCAACCAGCUGCCAUUCAUGUGGUGUCAGUGUCAGCCUGGUGACCAGGAGUGGACAGAAAGAUGAGCCAAGAGAUAUCAAGACAUAUCUGGUGAGGUCAGGGCAGUCAGAGUGGAGGCCAUGUCUGAGCCUUUCUGCUUUGGACACGAGCGCAUGGGGAUAGUACACCCUCAGAUCCACCCCGCUACGUGACUGCCAUGACACCAUUGGGAAAGGCCUUGGCAUCAACUGCCUUCUCCAGAAAUGUUAAUUCCCUUUCCAUACCCUUAGUAUUUCUCAUGAUACAAAGGAAAAUUAUGGUACCCACUUUCCUGAGCUUUAAAAUCUGCUUCCCUCCUGACAGAGGCAGACCGCCCAAUUUUUCAAAUCCUUUCUCAUUAAGCCUUUGUUGACCUGAUCAACAUUUUUCUUCCACACUAACAUGUUUGAAGACUAUCUAUAGAAAAGACUCCAUUUUGAAAAUCCCAGAACAUGGGAGUGAGAUUAAAAUAUCUCUAUGGACCCCAGUGUCUGAGA
Molecule: long non-coding RNA, 691 nt
Organism: Mustela erminea (ermine)
Lineage: Eukaryota; Metazoa; Chordata; Mammalia; Carnivora; Mustelidae
Exons: 3
Source: RefSeq, a predicted model, not a curated record